This 406-nucleotide ribosomal RNA is filed under the name uncultured bacterium. RNAcentral's name for it is "partial 16S ribosomal RNA". It matches the Rfam family "Bacterial small subunit ribosomal RNA", at positions 30 to 526 of the family's 1533-position model. The record is from RNAcentral.
AUUGAACGCUGGCGGCAGGCCUAACACAUGCAAGUCGAGCGAGCGGCGGACUGGUGAGUAAUGUCUGGGAAACUGCCUUCUGGAGGGGGAUAACUACUGGAAACGGUAGCUAAUACCGCAUACCAUCAGAUGUGCCCAGAUGGGAUUAGCUAGUAGGUGGGGUAAUGGCUCACCUAGGCGACGAUCCCUAUCUGGUCUGAGAGGAUGACCAGUCACACUGGAACUGAGACACGGUCCAGGAUCCUACGGGAGGCAGCAGGGGGGAAUAUUGCACAAUGGGCGCAAGCCUGAUGCAGCCAUGCCGCGUGUGUGAAGAAGGCCUUCGGGUUGUAAAGCACUUGCAGCGGGGAGGCGUUACCCGCAGAAGAAGCACCGGCGAACUCCGUGCCAGCAGCCGCGGUAAUAC